UACAGAGGGUGCUAGCGUUGUUCGGAAUUAUUGGGCGUAAAGCGCUUGUAGGCGGCCUGUCAAGUCGCGUGUGAAAUCCCCUGGCUCAACCAGGGAAGUGCGCGCGAAACUGGCGGGCUUGAGUGCCGGAGAGGGUCGCGGAAUUCCCGGUGUAGAGGUGAAAUUCGUAGAUAUCGGGAGGAACACCAGUGGCGAAGGCAGGUCUCUGGGCAUUAACUGACGCUGAGGAGCGAAAGCAUGGGGAGCGAACAGG
This 253-nucleotide ribosomal RNA is filed under the name uncultured bacterium. Its description in RNAcentral is "partial 16S ribosomal RNA". It matches the Rfam family "Bacterial small subunit ribosomal RNA", at positions 524 to 776 of the family's 1533-position model. The record is from RNAcentral.